AAAAACAUAACCUUUAGCAAAACAAGUAUUAAAGGCGACGCCUGCCCAGUGAGAUUUAAACGGCCGCGGUAUCCUAACCGUGCAAAGGUAGCGUAAUCACUUGUCUUAUAAAUAAAGACCUGUAUGAAUGGCUAAAUGAAUAUUUAACUGUCUCCUUUAACUAAUCAGUGAAACUGAUCUUUCAGUACAAAAGCUGAAAUAAAAGUAUAAGACGAGAAGACCCUGUGGAGCUUCAAAUUUUUAACAAAAUAUUUUUAAAAAUGUUUAAUGAUAAAAAAUUUUAAGUUGGGGCGACUUUGGAGUAAACCUAACCUCCAAGGAAAGGGCAUUGCCAAAAUUAGGCUAACCCGCCAAACUAUAUAGACCCAGUAUUGUAUACUGAUCAACGAACCAAGUUACCCCAGGGAUAACAGCGCCAUCCUCUUCAAGAGUUCCUAUCGACAAGAGGGUUUACGACCUCGAUGUUGGAUCAGGACACCCAAAUGGUGUAGCCGCUAUUAAAGGUUCGUUUGUUCAACGAUUAACAGUCCUACGUGAUCUGA
This 542-nucleotide ribosomal RNA is filed under the name Anolis gruuo. Its description in RNAcentral is "partial 16S ribosomal RNA". It matches the Rfam family "Bacterial large subunit ribosomal RNA", at positions 1809 to 2608 of the family's 2925-position model. The record is from RNAcentral. Lineage: Eukaryota; Metazoa; Chordata; Lepidosauria; Squamata; Anolidae.